GAAUUCGAUUCAGGCCUACACAUGCAAGUCGAGGGGUAACGAGAGGGAAGCUUGCUUUCCUUGUCGACGAAAAAAAGAUGGGUGAGUAACGCGUAUCCAACCUGCCCUUCAGUAAGGGAUAGCCUUUCGAAAGAAAGAAUAAUACCUUAUGUGAUCGUUUGAUGACAUCAGACGACGAUCAAAGAUUUAUCGCUGAAGGAUGGGGAUGCGUCCCAUUAGGCAGUAGGCGGGGUAACGGCCCACCUAACCUACGAUGGGUAGGGGUUCUGAGAGGAAGGUCCCCCACAUUGGAAGGGAGACACGGUCCAAACUCCUACGGGAGGCAGCAGUGAGGAAUAUUGGUCAA
RNAcentral lists this ribosomal RNA (346 nucleotides) under uncultured bacterium. Its description in RNAcentral is "bacterial SSU rRNA". It matches the Rfam family "Bacterial small subunit ribosomal RNA", at positions 43 to 371 of the family's 1533-position model. The record is from RNAcentral.